Molecule: long non-coding RNA, 744 nt
Organism: Homo sapiens (human)
Lineage: Eukaryota; Metazoa; Chordata; Mammalia; Primates; Hominidae
Gene: DAB1-AS1
Product: DAB1 antisense RNA 1
Source: Ensembl
GGAAUACGAAGGGAGAAUGAAACAAAACUGCUCCGCUUAGGGAACUUGGAAAGGAAAUUGAAAAGUUGACAUGCAGGCUGGACAUACAGUGGGCCUCGAUUGCUUAGAAGCCAAACUGAACUCACCAAGAAAAGAAGACAGGAGAAACUUCUCAAGAGGAAUAUCUCCAAAUUGCAGGAUCGAAUACCAUAAGAGGAAUUCUGGACUGAAGAGUUAUGAAGUCAUUUCAGACACUUCCAGACAAUUUGUGUUAAUUAAAUUCUCACUGGUUGAGUUCCAUUCUACACUGGAAGAGCAUUUUUCCUGGAAAGGCUCCUCAAAAUGGACACCAUCAAGAGUCACCUCCUCAGUGAAGCCUUCCAUGGUUUCAUACCACCCAUCCCUAUCGGAAUGAAUGUAUCCUUGUUCUCCGUUAUCCCAGUAUUUUGCCUGGGCUUCUGUCACACUACUUUCAAUGUCUAUACCUCAGUUAUCGAAUCGAAAAACAAGAGUCAUCAGUCUCUAAGGUCCUUGCAAGCUUCAAAACUUUAUAUUUUUGUCAAUUACAACUGAAUAAAGCUGAACAACUUAUUAUUUAUGGAUACUUGCUCAAGCACCAUAUAACUCUUUCAGAUAUUUUAAAAGAAUAUGUUUGCAAAAGACUCCAAAUCAAUGUAUUAAAUUGAAAUCCAGUAUCAAAACACCCAUUAAAGUGCUCUUUUGAAAUUGUACAUUUUAUAUCAAUAAAAUUUCAAAAUAUAAAAA